Long non-coding RNA from Cannabis sativa, 2040 nucleotides. RefSeq lists it as uncharacterized. Lineage: Eukaryota; Viridiplantae; Streptophyta; Magnoliopsida; Rosales; Cannabaceae. The transcript has 2 exons. The record is from RefSeq and is a predicted model, not a curated record.
UAAUGGAGGACCAAGCACCAUAAGAGAGAUUAGCAAAGAAAAUACAAUAGAGUGAUACAAAAAUCAGACAACAAAAGGAUCCAAAGACGAUUAUCUUGGAAAAUGGGAAGUCAUGACAAGUGCAACGAAUGCAUGGAUAAAGGAAAUUAAGAAGUGAACGUUAGACAAAAAGGUGGUCGGAUAGAUAGUUAAAUAUUUAUACAUAGAAAACCUUUUAAAGAGAUUCCAUGUUUAUUUCCAAGUGCCAUGGAAAAAGUAUCUAUCGAUGAGUAACAACUAUGAAACUGCAAGAAUGACACCGUAGCUUUACAGUGGAAAAAAAAAAAGACAGAGAGAGAGUAAGAUUUUAGUCUGUAAUAACAUUCAACGAGAGAAUGGGAAUAAUUAAAGAGAAGUUUGCAUAAGAUCUUUUACCCUACUCUUUGUGUUUGUUAUUUUGUAUUGUUUAAUGUGUUCUCAAGUGACAUGUAAGGAUGUUCAUUUAGAGAAUAAAUACUGUGACUCUAAAUGGCAUGUAAGGAUGCUCAUAGAAGAAUAAAUAAUUUUACUCUUAAUGGCAUGUAAGGAUGCUCAUAGAAGAAUAAAUAAUUUCACUCUUAAUGGCAUGUAAGGAUGGUCAUAAGAGAAAGAAAAACUUUUCAUAUAUUACGAGCAUGUGAUUGCAAAACUUAUGUAUUCAAAGCAUGUAUAUGUAAGUUAUUAUGAUGGAGUAUAUUUUGGUAUUUAAAGUAAUGUAUAGAGAAAUAAUAAUACUUAAUUAAGUUGUGUAUAUUUUAUGUGUUAUGGAUUGACCGAUAAGACAUAGGUUAAAUGCAUGUUUAUUGGGUCCAUAUAUAUAUGGUAGAUAAUGAGGUAAUGCAGUAAGUGGUGAAAGACAUGACGACUCAACACCCCGAGUGUUGGUAAGUUAAAUUUCGAGGACGAAAUUUCUUUUAAGGAGGGUAGAAUGUAAUAUCCAGAUUAAAAUAGUAUUUAAUUUUUUUUUUUGGAUAUUAAUUGAGCGAGGAUAAUUAUCUUGUUUCUUUGUGUUGUUAGUGAGUUGAUAUUAUUGCUUAGAGUAGUUGUACCAAUUUUCUAGAGAGAGUUAAAGUUGUAUUAACUACGAAAGUAAAAUAUUAUGGUAUUUUUACAGAGUAAGUAAUCGUUUAAUUAAAGCCCAAUAUGAAGGUCCAUUAGGGUUUUAUAAUAUGUUUAGUGAGUUUAAUUAAUUAAUGUUAAAAAUUCGUAGGUUUGGAUAAAUUCGCAGGAUUAAAAACUGUUUUACUAAAAUAAUCAUAUCUGGAGUUCUAGAGCUCGGAUUGAGGUGAUUUCAGUGGCGUUGGAAAGAUAAUUUAAAGAUCUAUAAAUUUUGUAGAAAUAACUAUAUCAGAAUUCGUAAUUUUUCUAGGUCAAAACUAAGCCCUAAAGUUACGAGAUUGAGAGCUUACAAUUUAAAUUUAAAAGUUAGAUAUUUGUUUAUUUAAUAAUUUAUCAUAUUAUUAUUGUUAUUAUGUUAAUAUUAUUAUUAUUCAUAAAACUAAAGCUAAUAAGAGUCAGAAUAGUAUAGGUUUCAUUAACCCUAAAAUUAUAUCGUUCUAUUCUUCCCACCUAUCUGAGCAAGACUAACCCUAAAAAUUUUCAAGUCAUCUUUCCAUUACAUCCUUAGCCAAAUCUAUAUCACUAUUCACUCUCAUCUUUGAUCACCAUCAUCUUAUGUCUAUCGAUCCAAGUAGCUUGAUGUAUUUGAGGUAGUAGUGACGAGAUAACAAGUUUAAGCAGCGGGAUUUGAGGUAUUAGACAGGGAAGUAUGUAUAGUGAGCAGGGUCAGUUAAGUACGUAUACUGUGAGCGGCUACGGGCGGACAAACGAUCUAGAACGCCAGUGGUGCCUUAGUUUUAUUUUAAGCAGUUGAUAAAUCUAACACAGUGGAAAUGCAUUAUUUAAAAUUAUUUACUUACUGUAUCUUGUUUUACAAAUGAAGGAUCCUUCUCUGUUGCAUUUUGAUUUUUUUUAAAAUCCACUGUUGUAUUUAAAUUAUUUUUUUUUUAUCUUUUCAAAUUA